GGAUGUAGCAGUACUAAAUUGCGCUUGUCUUCGAAGUACUCGUCUUGCUUGGGAGGCUUAAUUUUAGUGGAUCUGUUCUUGCGUUGCUUAGGCUCUUGGUUCUGUUUCGCUUGCCUCUUAGUUCCUUUGCUCAUUGUCAAUUCAGAGAGAGAGAGAGAGAAGGGUGGAUCGAUUGGAUUCAAAUAGAGAAAGAGCAAAAGCAAAUUUGUGAGCAAUAAUUUUGUUUAGGUUGAUUUGUGAAAAAUAGAGGUCAGUGAUGUCAAUAGCUCAAGGAACUCUACAAAUUUGAAUGAAGACAAAAACAGAACUCUACAAGAGGCGGGUUCCUUGUGAGAAA
RNAcentral lists this long non-coding RNA (337 nucleotides) under Vigna radiata. RNAcentral's name for it is "long non-coding RNA (VRAD_LNC016869)". The record is from RNAcentral. Lineage: Eukaryota; Viridiplantae; Streptophyta; Magnoliopsida; Fabales; Fabaceae.